CAGCAGCCGCGGUAAUACGUAGGUCCCGAGCGUUGUCCGGAUUUAUUGGGCGUAAAGCGAGCGCAGGCGGUUAGAUAAGUCUGAAGUUAAAGGCUGUGGCUUAACCAUAGUACGCUUUGGAAACUGUUUAACUUGAGUGCAAGAGGGGAGAGCGGAAUUCCAUGUGUAGCUGUGAAGUGCGUAGAUAUAUGGAGGAACACCGGUGGCGGAAGCGGCUCUCUGGCUUGUAACUGACGCUGAGGCUCGAAAGCGUGGGGAGCGAACGGGAUUAGAUACCCCCGUAGUCCCUGUCUCUUAUACC
This 301-nucleotide ribosomal RNA is filed under the name uncultured bacterium. RNAcentral's name for it is "partial 16S ribosomal RNA". It matches the Rfam family "Bacterial small subunit ribosomal RNA", at positions 509 to 808 of the family's 1533-position model. The record is from RNAcentral.